UACGUAGGGUGCAAGCGUUAAUCGGAAUUACUGGGCGUAAAGCGUGCGCAGGCGGUUUUGUAAGUCUGUCGUGAAAUCCCCGGGCUCAACCUGGGAAUUGCGAUGGAGACUGCAAGGCUAGAAUCUGGCAGAGGGGGGUAGAAUUCCACGUGUAGCAGUGAAAUGCGUAGAGAUGUGGAGGAACACCGAUGGCGAAGGCAGCCCCCUGGGUCAAGAUUGACGCUCAUGCACGAAGCGUGGGGAGCAAACAGG
RNAcentral lists this ribosomal RNA (252 nucleotides) under uncultured bacterium. Its description in RNAcentral is "partial 16S ribosomal RNA". It matches the Rfam family "Bacterial small subunit ribosomal RNA", at positions 524 to 776 of the family's 1533-position model. The record is from RNAcentral.